RNAcentral lists this ribosomal RNA (253 nucleotides) under uncultured bacterium. RNAcentral describes it as "partial 16S ribosomal RNA". It matches the Rfam family "Bacterial small subunit ribosomal RNA", at positions 524 to 776 of the family's 1533-position model. The record is from RNAcentral.
UACGAAGGGGGCUAGCGUUGCUCGGAAUUACUGGGCGUAAAGGGCGCGUAGGCGGCACUGUUAGUCAGGCGUGAAAGUCCUGGGCUCAACCUGGGAACUGCGCUUGAUACGGCAGAGCUAGAGGAUGGAAGAGGCUCGCGGAAUUCCCAGUGUAGAGGUGAAAUUCGUAGAUAUUGGGAAGAACACCGGUGGCGAAGGCGGCGAGCUGGUCCAUUACUGACGCUGAGGUGCGAAAGCGUGGGGAGCAAACAGG